UACCAAAUUUGAUAUUUCUCUCAUUUCUCUCAAAACAGAACCGCCUGUCUGACGGGGAAGAUCUCCACACACAGUCCGCCUUCGAUCACCGAGCUCCUUCACCGUCGAUCCAAGUCUCCAAUACGAUCAACAUCGUAUCAGAUACUGAUUUCCUGGACGAGCUUGUCAAGGCGGAGGAAACCGCUCUCGAUCUCUACCCCACCCGCCGCUUCUGCCUCCGCAGUCUCAGACUCCUCUCCCCCCUCCCCGCCGCCGUUGGAGCUCAAUUAUUCACCUCCUCGCGAAGUGUCUCAGAGAACUCCCCUGACCUUCCAUACGCGCACUGGCAUUCCCGAUUUUCAUGUCUCUUUUGCAAAGGAGCGCGAACUCAGUGCACUGCAGAAAGAGCUAAAUCGCGUUUUGAAGCAGCUGAGUCACCUGGAGCAGGAGUGUUCGGAGCUUAGAAAGGAAAAGGAAAAAAACACCCGGAGCAGCUGAAACUACUGAAUUCGAGGAUUGAUGCACAAGCUAAUCUCAGAAAGAGCAUGGAGAUGGAUGACCUCGUUUUUAACUCUUUGGAUCCUGGGAUACCUGAACUCCGUCAAAAUGUGAAACCAUAUAGUAAUAAACAGCCUGGUUCCUAUACAAAAUGUAGGUGAGCAUUUUCUCCAAGAUCAAACAACAGGAUGUGUUUUCUGCCUCAUGUAAUGUUCACUGUUAAAAAUUCUUCCUUUUCGUUUCUCAUCUUUUUUGGGGUGGUUUUCUAUUGUUGUUGUUGAUGAGCUUGUGAUACAGGAAGAGAUAAAACCAUACAAGAAACUUUUUGCCACUCCGAAAAGUUGUUUGGUGUGUUAAACUCAAAUGACCAAAAACAGGGAAGGGUUCUAGUUGCAAAGCUGUAUCAGACUUGUGAAAUGGAUUUUCAUUCGCUGUUUGGUUACCUGAACUCCCCUAUAAAUGGCUCAAACAUGGCCGCAUCCGAUCUUUGCUGUAUAGUUUCUCUUUCUACUGCGUCCCAGAAAAGUAAAGUAAUAAAUAAAAAAUUGAUAUGUCUCAGGUGUUAAUGCUCUUUUUUACUUUCUUUGAUUUCUUUAGUGUAUGUCCCAGGGUAAAUGUCACGGUGGAGGAAUCCAUCUCUAGAAAUGCUGAAUCUGGUACAAAUAGAUGUGGUGCGGAGGAAGAAGGUUUAAGCUUUGCAAAUAUAGCAGAGAUGUUGAAGCAGGGCCCAAUUCCAUCUGCACUCAAAUCGUAGAAUGAUAAAACCUCUGGUUUUAGUGGGUCUGCUAAUCAUAGUUGUGUAGCAUUUGUGUCUGCAGUCUGUCAAAUGUCCUUACUUGAACAUUUGUGCGCAAUUGCUACUAAAAGCAAUGAUGAACUAGUAAGACACGAGGCACUUUCAGUCAUGAUUCUGAUUCUUAUGAGACAUAAUGCCUAUUUGGAGAGAGACAAGUUGCUCGGUACAAUCAUUUUGUUGUUUAUAUGAUAUUCUGAAUAGAGGCCUCUGGAAACAGGUUUGCUGGGGAAUUAGUGGUUCAUACUUUAUCUCAAUCAUUGAGGAAGGAAGCUGGAUUCUCUGUACAAGACCAAGCAGUUCAUGCUCUUUAUUUGCUAUGUAAUUGUGAGUUUCAAUAUACUGUUUUGGCUGAAUAGAAAAUUGUGACCGGGUAAAUAAAUUUGAUUUUCUAAACAGAGAAUUUCUUUGUAGUUUCUUUGAGCAUUCUGUGUUUAUUUUAUGUAUUGCAAAGGAUUUUCUGGACUUAAUAGUUAAUACUACUCUUCACAUAAUUAUGACUCAAGAUAUCGCCAAACCUAUAUACUUAUUCACACAUGUAGUACUUUAUAUAGGAGAUAUUUAUGAAUCCUACUCAUCUCUGAAGCACUAUAUUCAUUUGGUUUAUUUGUCUCAAUGUACAACUCCUGGAAUCAGAGCUUGUAUUGGUAAAUUGUUUCUCUUGCGGUGUUUUUAUAGGCCCAAAAGUUGUAGCUAUGAUCUCUUCUUGCUUAAAAGAGGAUGGAGACCUGACAUACACUAAUAAUAUUAAGGGCAAGUAUUAAGUGUGAAAUGAGAUCUUAAUUGGCUUGGCACAUUGUGUAGCUUGCUGUGGGAGUGCUACUGCUGAAGUAAGCCUGAUUUUUGAGAAAUAUACAAUUCUAAAGCUGCACGAUAAGAAACUAAAUUAUUGGAUAUGCCGCUGCUCACCUGGUUAUCGUCUGACCAGUCAUUUGACUCCACUUGGAACAGUGCCGGUUAUGUUUAUUUGAGGUUUGAAAGUGUGGAAGCUGCAUCACAGGCUCAACAGGCAAUGCACAAGAGAUGGUUUGCUUGCAGAUUGAUUUUGGCCAUAUUCUUGGUAGUUUUCUGCAACGAAUUACCGUCUUUCUCCUUGAAUGUGUGAUUAUAUAUGCUGCUCCACUACUGUGAUCCUAGUGACAGUAGUUUUCUGGGGUUUAUUUUUGGAAUAUGAUUCUUAAUGUGCACUCUGAUAUUAUAAUGUUGUUAUUGGUCUAAUUGUUAAGGUUCUUGUAAUUUUUGAUGCAGCAACCUUAUGAAUACGAUGCCAAAUUCAAAGGUGCUCCCUGAUCAAGUAUACUGGUGAAAUUGCGACUUGUGUUUAACGUCCGGGUCCCCAUCCUCGAAACUAAACCAUGUUGAAUUUGAUUAUGCUAGGCUUAGUUCUAAGCGUUCCAGAUGUCUUAAAUUUUGCUCAUUCAUUUGUUAUAUAUUUUUUUUCUAUUUUUUCUUUCACUUCUGCCUGCAAGUCUGCAACCCUUAUAACUCAAAAUAUUAAUGUUUGUAAUAUUAAAAAAAUCCUUAUAACCCAAUAAUAUUGGGGAAUAAGCUGAUCGUAUAAACACACACUUGAAAUUUGAAUUGAUUAGUGAGUCUAUUUGGGGAAAGGAAUUAGAAAGAGGUGUUUUACAUCUAGGGUUGCCAUCUGAUUAUGGGUAAUUUCUACCUACUGUAAAGUGUAAAUCCUCUGUAUGCAAUGGUCAUCUGAGAGUGAGUUAUUUUUGUUAGUGGUUUAAUUAUAGUUACAUUUUUUGUGCUCUAGCUAAAUCUUAUUCUUUAUCAAUCUGUUAUCGUUCCCAAACGGAAUUGCGAAUCGGUGGAAAAUAGAAUAAGAGAUUUUUAUUCUUUAUCAAUUUUCCGAGUGCCAAACGGAAUUGCUUGUUUGAUGAAUCGAUGGAAAAUAGAAUAAGAGAUUUUUUUAUAGGAUGAAAGAGCUGCUCUGUCUGGUGGGAAGUGGUCACAAAAUAGCAAUUUGGUGUUGAGUUAUUGAAGUAAUCAUGGCUAAUAAUGCGAUGCAGGAGAGCCCUUCUUUUUGUUGGCUAUUAAUAGACUUGUAUUUGGAUUUUGUUAGCAUGCAUAUGUUGACAAGUAGGGGACUUACUGAUUUUACACUUGUUUUGAAAAUGAUUGACAGACAAAGGUGGUACUUUGUUGACCCUAUGAUUUUAUUGAACAUGAUAAUUGAAAAAGAGAGGAAUUCUUGUCACAUAUGAUGUGUUUUUUAAUCUCUGAAGAGUCGAGUACAAUUUGAGCAAUUGUUUUAGGUGUUAAUUCCUUUUGUCAGGUCUCAAUUGUUGCAUAUAAAUCUAAUCCUAGUAUUGACCUGCACAUGUUGUUACUGAAGUAGCCAUUGUUGCGCUGGAAAUCUAAUUGUACUUGGUUUACUUACAGGAACAGCGCCGGUCAUAUUUAUUUGAGGUUUGAAAGUGUGGAAGCUGCAUCACGUGCUCAACAGGCAAUGCACAAGAGAUGGUUUGCUCGCAGAUUGAUUUUGGCUAUAUUCUUGCACAGCAACCUUAUGAAUACGAUGCCAAAUUCAAAGGUGCUCCCUGAUCUCAAGUCUACUGGUGAAAUUGCGACUUGUGUUUCACGUCCGGGUCCCCAUCCUCGAACAACACCAUGUUGAAUUUGAUUAUGCUAGGCUUAGUUCUAAGCGUUCCAGAUGAUGAUUGCCGUUGCAGUUCUAAUGCGUAUUAUGAAUUGAGCCACCAUUGUUUGUUUUGUGAAGGCAGCAGCUUCGACUACUAAUUCCGUUGUUCAGCUGGUUUUUGCUACAAAUUUUGUUUCAUUAGAUGAAGAAAUUAUUGAGGAUCUGUUUAUAUGAAAGUUUAUUUUAUACUGGGUACUAAAUAAAAUAGUCUAGUAAUGUUGAAUUAAUAUGAAGUACUCCUCAAAUGUGUUUGAACACUAUGUAGAGCAUGGAGUAAAGUGGGGCCCACUAACUCAUGCAGGAGUCUCAUGUUCGAUUUCCUAAAAUACUAAGCUACCAAAAUUGGUAGUCUACACUGCAAGAAUAUAUCUCAUGUUCAGAGAUUGGAGAGAGAGAGAGAGAUUUCAGAAGUCAAAUGCUUUCAUCUUCCUCUAUGCAUCCGAGUUCUUCAUCAGCCGAAACCGACUUCAUGGCAAGCUCGGAGGAGACAAGGUUGAACAUACCUGAGAUCACGGAGGAGCAGGAAGAAAAGGAGGGGCUGGAAAAUCUGAUAGACGAGGCUGACACUGAGGUCAGCAAGAGAUUGGUCGAUAUUUUUCUUCUCAUGUCCACCGUCGUUGCAGGUUCUUGCUAUGCUGCCAUGCUCACCCUCAGCAGCGACAACUUUGGCAGCCUAAGUGAUCUUACUACAUUGGCGUACCUUUUCUUUGUCUUCUGGAACCUCGUGGGCGUGUUUUGUGCGAUCCUGACUGUAGUUAGCAUCAUAUGGUCGUAUUUUUUUGAGAAGAGGUCAGCCAAACGUGCCUUGGAGACUUGGGCAAAAAUUUUCACGGGUGCCAUGAUGUCUAUGACUGCCGCUCUCACCAGUGGAGCUGUGGUAGUGGUUAAGAAAUCCGAGACGAUCCGAACAGGUGUGCUUAUUCUUGGAUUGUUUUUCACCGUCAUGGUGUAUCGUUUGGGGAUUCCUCUGGUGGUGAACGCUAGAUGGCGUCAGAUAAUGGGUGGUCGUGCCCACGAUCGUUGAUAACGGCUGCCUUGGUGAUCGAGGGGUUGAUUGUAUUUCUUCACUUCGAAUAUGAAAAUGCUUGAUCUCCAUAACUGUUGCAUUCCUUUUGCUCUGAAACAGGGAUUUUAGUGAAUGUGUGUAUAAGAUAUUGCGAUUUAGGUUUAAUCUAUGACCUUUCUGGAA
Salvia splendens (bonfire salvia) is the source of this 5109-nucleotide RNA transcript. RefSeq lists it as uncharacterized. The record is from RefSeq and is a predicted model, not a curated record. NCBI's taxonomy places the organism in Eukaryota, Viridiplantae, Streptophyta, Magnoliopsida, Lamiales, Lamiaceae. The transcript has 7 exons.